Molecule: ribosomal RNA, 300 nt
Filed under: uncultured Lactobacillus sp.
Lineage: Bacteria; Bacillati; Bacillota; Bacilli; Lactobacillales; Lactobacillaceae
Description: bacterial SSU rRNA
Rfam family: Bacterial small subunit ribosomal RNA
Source: RNAcentral
GGCUACCUGCGGGCAGCGAGCCGGGGUAAUACGUAGGGGGAAAGCGUUGUCCGGAUUUAUUGGGCGUAGAGCGAGCGCAGGCGGUUUCUUAAGUCUGAUGUGAAAGCCCACGGCUCAACCGUGGAAGGUCAUUGGAAACUGGGGAACUGGAGUGCAGAAGAGGAGAGUGGAAUUCCAUGUGUAGCGGUGAAAUGCGUAGAUAUAUGGAGGAACACCAGUGGCGAAGGCGACUCUCUGGUCUGUAACUGACGCUGAGGCUCGAAAGCGUGGGGAGCAAACAGGAUUAGAUACCCGGUAGUC